Molecule: ribosomal RNA, 432 nt
Filed under: uncultured bacterium
Lineage: Bacteria
Description: partial 16S ribosomal RNA
Rfam family: Bacterial small subunit ribosomal RNA
Source: RNAcentral
AACGAACGCUGGCGGCAUGCCUAACACAUGCAAGUCGAACGAGACCUUCGGGUCUAGUGGCGCACGGGUGCGUAACGCGUGGGAACCUGCCCUUAGGUUCGGAAUAACUCCCCGAAAGGGGUGCUAAUACCGGAUAAUGUCUUCGGACCAAAGAUUUAUCGCCUUUGGAUGGGCCCGCGUUGGAUUAGCUAGUUGGUAGGGUAAAAGCAUACCAAGGCGACGAUCCAUAGCUGGUCUGAGAGGAUGAUCAGCCACACUGGGACUGAGACACGGCCCAGACUCCUACGGGAGGCAGCAGUGGGGAAUAUUGGACAAUGGGCGAAAGCCUGAUCCAGCAAUGCCGCGUGAGUGAUGAAGGCCUUAGGGUUGUAAAGCUCUUUUACCCGGGAUGAUAAUGACAGUACCGGGAGAAUAGGCUCCGGCUAACUCCGU